CAAAGAACAACAAAAACAAAAGACAAAAGUCUAUGAUAACUGAAAAAUAUUGAAUCAAAUAAAUUUACAUAUUGAAAUAUGAUCUGUUACUUCAGAGAAAUUUAACUUUUACUGAUAUUUUUACUAUCUACACUGAAAAAAGAUCCUACAUCAAUGAUAAAAAAUUUAAAGGCAAAAGAAAUGAAAGAAAAGCAGCAAGAUCCAGAAUUUCAAUAUCCCAAAGUUGCGAAGGUGACUGGAAGUUCAAAGCAAGCUGUAAAGCAAACAGUGCAAACCACUAAAGACAAAGAAGUACUUGAUGCCGAUGAGUACAUCUUGCCUCAACCAACAAGCAUCAGAAAAUCUUAGGUUUUUUCACAAACUCUACCAGUUUCAAAAUUGGUAAAAGAACAUGUAAAAGACAUCUUGCAGCACAUAUCAAAUGUGUCUGGACUCGAGGCUUUAAUCUGGACAAGUGAAUUGAAUCUCAUUACCUUUGAAAAUAUUGGAAACCAAAUAAAGGAAAAAGAAAUUGCCAAUAAUGUCAUUGAUGGCUAUGGAGAGAUCCUAUUUGCUAAUCAAAGGAGAAAAGGACAACAACCAACUUCAUUUUUUUUCACAUGCAUGAGCUUAAACUUCAUCAAGAUGACGGAAAAUCAUACUUUUCGAGUCUCAUUAUUUGACAAGCAUCUUGAAACGGCAUGGAGGAACUACAGGUUCCUCCAUUUCCUAAUAAAUACCAGGGGCAAUGAGAAGUCAACAGAUGGAAAUCACUGGACCUUGCUAGUCUUGGACAAACAAGACAAUUUAUGGAGGUUCUACAACUUACUAAGUCCAAGAAGGGAUGAUGCACAAGACAAA
Non-coding RNA from Camellia sinensis, 840 nucleotides. NCBI's taxonomy places the organism in Eukaryota, Viridiplantae, Streptophyta, Magnoliopsida, Ericales, Theaceae. The record is from RefSeq and is a predicted model, not a curated record.